Cornus florida is the source of this 237-nucleotide long non-coding RNA. RefSeq lists it as uncharacterized. Lineage: Eukaryota; Viridiplantae; Streptophyta; Magnoliopsida; Cornales; Cornaceae. The record is from RefSeq and is a predicted model, not a curated record. The transcript is spliced from 2 exons.
CGGUCAGUACCCGUUCCAAGGUUGAGGUUUGCAGUGUGGGACCACCAUCCGAACUCAUCUACUCUUACGAUCCAGUUCAGGGUAGAAGUUUUAUGUAUUACUUCAGUUUCAGUUUUUAUUUACUUUUGACGUUGAACUCUCAGGUUUAUAUUUAGGGAUCCUUGACAUAGGAUUUCCAAGUUGUAAUGGAGUACUGUAUUAAAUAAAGGAUGGAUGGAUGUUGUAUUGUUUAGUGUU